AACGAACGCUGGCGGCGCGUCUUAAACAUGCAAGUCGAACGAUCUGUAGCAAUACAGGGAGUGGCGGACGGGUGAGGAACACGUAGGAAUCUACCUCGAAGAGCGGGACAACUUUGGGAAACCGGGGCUAAUACCGCAUAGUACAGAGAUGUUAAAGGGCUAGCAAUAGUCGCUUCGAGAUGAGCCUGCGGUCUAUCAGCUUGUUGGUGAGGUAAUGGCUCACCAAGGCUACGACGGAUAGCCGGUCUGAGAGGAUGAUCGGCCACACUGGCACUGAGACACGGGCCAGACUCCUACGGGAGGCAGCAGUUAAGAAUCUUGCGCAAUGGGGGAAACCCUGACGCAGCGACGCCGCGUGAAGGAUGAAGGCUUUCGGGUUGUAAACUUCGGUAGACUGGGAAGAAGAAAUACGUUCGUUGAGGGCGUAUAGUGACGGUACCAGUCUGAAGCCCGGCUAAUACGUGCCAGCAGCCGCGGUAAU
RNAcentral lists this ribosomal RNA (481 nucleotides) under uncultured bacterium. RNAcentral describes it as "bacterial SSU rRNA". It matches the Rfam family "Bacterial small subunit ribosomal RNA", at positions 29 to 524 of the family's 1533-position model. The record is from RNAcentral.